GACGAACGCUGGCGGCGUGCUUAACACAUGCAAGUCGAACGGAAAGGCCCUGCUUUUGUGGGGUGCUCGAGUGGCGAACGGGUGAGUAACACGUGAGUAACCUGCCCUUGACUUUGGUAUAACUUCAGGAAACUGGGGCUAAUACCUGAUAGGAUCUCCUGCUUCAUGGUGGGGGUUGGAUAGUUUCGGCGGUUGGGGAUGGACUCGCGGCUUAUCAGCUUGUUUGUUGGGUAGUGGCUUACCAAGGCUUUGACGGGUAGCCGGCCUGUGAGGGUUACCGGCGACAAUGGGACUGAGAUACGGCCCAGACUACUACGGGAGGCAGCAGUGGGGAAUAUUGCACAAUGGGCGGAAGCCUGAUGCAGCAACGAAGCGUGCGGGAUGACGGCCUUCGGGUUGUAAACCGCUUUCGACUGUGACGAAGAGUGAGUGACGGUAAUGGGUAAAGAAGCACCGGCUAACUACGUG
This 468-nucleotide ribosomal RNA is filed under the name uncultured bacterium. Its description in RNAcentral is "partial 16S ribosomal RNA". It matches the Rfam family "Bacterial small subunit ribosomal RNA", at positions 28 to 507 of the family's 1533-position model. The record is from RNAcentral.